Molecule: ribosomal RNA, 500 nt
Filed under: uncultured bacterium
Lineage: Bacteria
Description: bacterial SSU rRNA
Rfam family: Bacterial small subunit ribosomal RNA
Source: RNAcentral
UGGUCUAGGAUGAACGCUGGCGGCGUGCCUAAUACAUGCAAGUGAAACGGGUAUCUUCGGAUACCAGUCGCGGACGGGUGAGUAAUACAUAGGCAACCUGCCUUUAUGAGGGGGAUAACCGAGGGAAACUUUGGCUAAUACCGCAUGAAGACUCUAAGGCAUCUUAGAGGGAUAAAAGUUGGGAAACAACGCAUGAAGAUGGGCUUAUGGCGCAUUAGCUAGUUGGUGAGAUAGAAGCCCACCAAGGUAAUGAUGCGUAGCCGACCUGAGAGGGUGAACGGCCACAUUGGGACUGAGACACGGCCCAAACUCCUACGGGAGGCAGCAGUAGGGAAUUUUCGGCAAUGGGGGGAACCCUGACCGAGCAACGCCGCGUGAAAGGAAGAAGGUUUUCGGAUUGUAAACUUCUGUUAUAAGGGAAGAACGGAUUGGAUAGGGAAUGAUCUGAUAGUGACGGUACCUUAUUAGAAAGCCACGGCUAACUACGUGCCAGCAGCCGC